UGGGGAAUUUUGGACAAUGGGCGAAAGCCUGAUCCAGCAAUGCCGCGUGUGUGAAGAAGGCCUUCGGGUUGUAAAGCACUUUUGUCCGGAAAGAAAUCCUUGGCUCUAAUACAGUCGGGGGAUGACGGUACCGGAAGAAUAAGCACCGGCUAACUACGUGCCAGCAGCCGCGGUAUUACGUAGGGUGCAAGCGUUAAUCGGAAUUACUGGGCGUAAAGCGUGCGCAGGCGGUUUGCUAAGACCGAUGUGAAAUCCCCGGGCUCAACCUGGGAACUGCAUUGGUGACUGGCAGGCUAGAGUAUGGCAGAGGGGGGUAGAAUUCCACGUGUAGCAGUGAAAUGCGUAGAGAUGUGGAGGAAUACCGAUGGCGAAGGCAGCCCCCUGGGCCAAUACUGACGCUCAUGCACGAAAGCGUGGGGAGCAAACAGGAUUAGAUACCCUGGUAAUCCACGCCCUAAACGAUGUCAACUAGUUGUUGGGGAUUCAUUUCCUUAGUAACGUAGCUAACGCGUGAAGUUGACCGCCUGGGGAGUACGGUCGCAAGAUUAAAACUUUAAAGGAAUUGACGGGGUCAUAGCUGUUUCCU
This 586-nucleotide ribosomal RNA is filed under the name uncultured bacterium. Its description in RNAcentral is "partial 16S ribosomal RNA". It matches the Rfam family "Bacterial small subunit ribosomal RNA", at positions 355 to 1375 of the family's 1533-position model. The record is from RNAcentral.